RNAcentral lists this ribosomal RNA (468 nucleotides) under uncultured bacterium. RNAcentral describes it as "partial 16S ribosomal RNA". It matches the Rfam family "Bacterial small subunit ribosomal RNA", at positions 28 to 507 of the family's 1533-position model. The record is from RNAcentral.
GAUGAACGCUGGCGGCGUGCUUAACACAUGCAAGUCGAACGGUGAAGGCGGAGCUUGCUCUGCUGGAUCAGUGGCGAACGGGUGAGUAACACGUGAGCAAUCUGCCCCUGACUCUGGGAUAAGCGCUGGAAACGGCGUCUAAUACUGGAUACGAGCUGCGAAGGCAUCUUCAGCAGCUGGAAAGAAUUUCGGUCAGGGAUGAGCUCGCGGCCUAUCAGCUUGUUGGUGAGGUAACGGCUCACCAAGGCGUCGACGGGUAGCCGGCCUGAGAGGGUGACCGGCCACACUGGGACUGAGACACGGCCCAGACUCCUACGGGAGGCAGCAGUGGGGAAUAUUGCACAAUGGGCGAAAGCCUGAUGCAGCAACGCCGCGUGAGGGACGACGGCCUUCGGGUUGUAAACCUCUUUUAGCAGGGAAGAAGCGAAAGUGACGGUACCUGCAGAAAAAGCGCCGGCUAACUACGUG